RNAcentral lists this long non-coding RNA (3212 nucleotides) under Homo sapiens (human). Its description in RNAcentral is "non-protein coding PTCSC2:4". Lineage: Eukaryota; Metazoa; Chordata; Mammalia; Primates; Hominidae. The record is from RNAcentral.
AGGAGCAGCUGUGGCGGCGCGGUAGGAGCCCCACAGCGUCAGGGCGGGGAGGGCGCUUGGAGAUCCCCCGGGUCGGCCCCCUCCGCACCCCGAUCGACUGAGGCCCGGAGAGUUCAGGAACCGGCUCGGGAGACCUCAGCGCCCGAACUCGGAGUUUUCGGACUUUUCAGGCCUCUGCCAAGGGCUUGGACUCGCAGGUGAAAGGACGGGCUCAUCUCACUUUUUUGUCCUGAGAGGAGCUACCAGUGAAUCUGGUGCCAAGGCAAGAGAGGAAAAGUCGAUUUCUUAUCUUUCUGAGACUGGCGGUGGCCCUUGCCAAUUCAAGGUGGUCUCUCUGGGCUCCUGCACAGCAGGCUUUUCCGUGGAGGCUGGAAGGGUCUGGAGCUGACUCCAAGACAUGGUCUUUCUCUCCAUAGAUGGUGGAAAGCUGCACUUGAAGUCCAACUCUGUCCUGGGGGAAUAAUUAUGUUCCCUGUCUUGGGAGCCUUUCUUCAGGGAGCUUGAUGGUUCCAACCCACCCAGGAGCCUGGGACAUCUGUGCCCCUGGGCAAUCCCCUGCAGUUUCCUGAUUCCAAGAUGAGGGGGUAGAAUCCGAAGAUCUCCAAGGCCUUGAUGAGUGCUACCAGUCUGCAAAUUCCCAAGCCAAGUUCUUCAAUGAAUCAAAUUUCCUCCAGUAGCCAUUUCUACCAAAGGAGCAACUGUUUUUCCUUCCCACUGACAUGGCUAUGUAUUCGAACUGGAUAUAGGACACUGGGACCUGAAGUCUUGGAGAGGAUGUAAUCACUAAGUCAUCCCAAGGAAGAGUGGGAUGCCUACAAGAGAGGGAUGCCUACAAGAGAGGGAUGCCUAAAUUGGUUACCCCUAAGCCCACCGACUUUUAAGGCAUGUGUAAGUGAGUGGGAACCUGCAAAAAGACUGGAAGGAGCAGCCAGAGAGGUAGGAAGAAAACCAGGAGUGCCUGUUGUCACGGAAGCUGAGGGCAAGGAGGACAGUGGUUGGGAGAAUCUGAUGCAGGUAUAUCCCUCACACUUUCCAAGGGUCACCUUAUUAUUUUAAUCCUCCCAACAGAUUGGUGAAGUGGGAACCAUCAUACUCUAACUUCUCCUUUUUUUUUUUUUUUUUUUUUUUUUUUUGAGACGGAGUCUCCCUCUAUUGCCCAGGUUGGAGUGCAGUGGCGCAAUCUGGAUUCACUUCAACCUCUGCCUCCUGAGUUCAAGCGAUUCUCCUGCCUCAGCCUCCCGAGUAGCUGGGACUACAGGAGCGUGCCACCAUGCCCGGCUAGUUUUUUUGUAUUUUUAGUAGAGACGGGGUUUCACCAUAUUGGCCAGGCUGGUCUCAAACUCCUGACCUUGUGAUCCGCUCGCCUCGGCCUCCCAAAGUGUUGGGAUUACAGGCGUGAGCCACCGCGCCCAGCCACUUCUCCUUUUUUAAUUUAACAUUUUUUAUUUUGGAUGACGGGUAUUUAUUAUUUUUAUAUAAUUCUUUGAGUCUUUUUGUCCUGCAUACUUUCAAGGUUUAAAAAGGGGAAGGAGGAAAGCAGGGACUCUCAGGCCAGAUCCAAAGAGUGGCUCCCCUAUGGAACUGUCUUUGGGCACCCCAGACUUGAGCCUGAGCAAGUGACUAGCUCUGCUUCCUUCCCAAGGUUGGACUACAAUCUCAAAGUGUUGGUGUAGAAUGAGGCCCCACUGCAAGUGGCUGCCCCCAGGACCAAGCUUACCUGCCCUCCUCUUGCCUCAGUUCCUUACUUGUUGGUUGGGACAGCAACACCACCUUAAAGCCCUGGGGAGGACUGGCCUCAAAGGCUCAAAGAAGGUGCUGGGUGACUGCAGCUCCUGUCAGACCUCCCUGGGUUGUGUGUGCACCUGUGUGUAUGUAGUGUGAUGUAUGUGUAUAUGUGUGUGCCUAUGUGUGUAUGUGUGAUCACACUUCUAGGGAUCCUGGUGUAAGGUCAGGAUACCCUGUCCCACUCCAUCCCUCUCUAACAGCAGCUCCAAGGACCAUGGCCCCAGGAACUAGGCACAAGUGACAGGAGACACUUGCUAUGUCUAAACCCAGUGCACCCUCAGCCCGGCCUCGCCUUUUCAAGGACGGCUAGCACAGGCCAUCAUCCUGGCCCACGAUGAAGGUGAGCAUCAAACUCCAAUUUCUGAAGAGGAAACUGAAGACCAGAGAGGGGAGGUAAACAUCCCAAAGUCACCAGCAAGUCAGUGGGAGACACAACUUUAACCCUAGUUUUGACUGGCAGUCUGUGGGCAUCGAGGCCACCAUUCCAUGUACCUAAUGUGUGUCUGGCAGUGUUCCAGGCCUCACCUGCAUCAUUUCUAAUCCUCUCAACCAGAGGAUCAGAGAGGUGGCGUUUUUACCCCUAGUACACAGAGGAGGCGCUUGGGGUUCAGAGGCACGUGUGGAACUAGACCGACGCCACUCACCCCAGCAGGUGGCCAAGCGGGAUGGGAGCGCGGGUCUCCCCAUCCCCAGCGGUGACGGGCGGCGGCUCUUUCCUGAAGAAUGGGGCGGCGUCCGCAACGGGAACCGCUGGAGGCGCUCCCCGGGACCCUGGCCCGCCCUCGCCCCCGCGCAUGCCUGGCCGCUGAGGCGUGAGAGCCGCCGCCCGGGGCCUCCCCCCGCGCGCCUUGCACAACCGGCCCAGGUAAGUGCUGCGUCUCUGGGCAAUUAUCGCCCUCCCGCCGCCGGGGCUGGCCGCGCACAGGGCCCACGGCCAAGGCACUCGCAGCCACCCAAGGAGAGCUGCACGGUCUACGACGGCCGCCAGCGCGCGCGAUUUCACAAGGCCCGGGAGCGGGGACGGGGCGGGGCGGCGGGGGCGGUGACGUCACGCGCAGCCACGCCCCGCGGUUGCCCCGCCCCCGCGCUGGGCCGGGCCUGGGGAGGAAGCGAUGCGAGGCCACCUGUCCACCUGCGCCGCUUCGUCCUUCCUCCUCCUCCUCCCUGUCAGCUGUUUUUCUUUCUUCCCAUCUCCCAUCUCUUCCUUUUUAUCCCUCUCAUUCCUCCCUCUUUCCGUCCGUUUCCUUCUCCCUUCCCCAUCUCCUUCCUUUUAAUUUUCCUUUUCUCCUCCCUCCCGCCUUCCUUCUCUCUGCUUCCUUUCUCUUCCUCCCUCCCUCCUUCUCUUCCGCCUGCUUCCUUUCUUUCUCCUCUCUCUCCUUUCUUCCUUUCCUCCUCUCCUUUUUCUUUUUCUUUUAUUUUCUUUCUUU